Molecule: unclassified non-coding RNA, 643 nt
Filed under: Hevea brasiliensis (rubber tree)
Lineage: Eukaryota; Viridiplantae; Streptophyta; Magnoliopsida; Malpighiales; Euphorbiaceae
Source: RNAcentral
AUGGAGCUUCAUCCCAGGGGCUGAUGUUGAAAAGACAAGUGUCAAAGGCAACAUACUAAUAAUGCCACAUUGACAGAAUAAAAUAGAAGAUAUAAAUAAAAGAUAUGUUCUUAUCAAGAGAGGAAACAAGCUCUUAGAUGGCAAAAUCCUUAGUUAAAGCCAGCUUAUCAUAAUAGCAAUCAGAGAAUCAGAAACAUGAAUCAACGAUUAUGCAUACAGGCAGCUUCAUCAUGUUCAUCAGAAUUAAUGUGGAUGAAUGAUUUUAAUGAAAGAACUCAAGAAAUUCACCAUAAUCAAAGAAAUCCAACACCAAACAAAGAAAGAAAACAUGCUAAACCAUUAGAUUAAAAGACAGAUUAUCAGAAUUAAAAAGAUUUGCAUUUCAAACUAAUGAAAAGAAUUAAAAUAAUAGUGAUGAUGACUCAAAAGAAAGCUAGUGUACCAUUCUGGUGCAGUAGAAAAGAUGUCCUCAAGUUCUACAGGUCGCAGGUUAUUAUCCUGUUAAAACAACGUACUUGGAUAAAACAAAAAGAAAAUUAACAAUGCAGUUUAAGUAGUUACUACUCAUCAAAGAACAGAUAGAAAUGUACGUAAUCACUAUCGAACAACUCGUAGAUAACCUUCAAAAACUCGAUAGUUUCAU